Molecule: ribosomal RNA, 409 nt
Filed under: uncultured bacterium
Lineage: Bacteria
Description: bacterial SSU rRNA
Rfam family: Bacterial small subunit ribosomal RNA
Source: RNAcentral
GUGUCAGCCGCCGCGGUAAUACGUAGGGGGCGAGCGUUGUCCGGAAUUACUGGGCGUAAAGGGUACGUAGGCGGCUAGGUAAGUCAGGUGUGAAAUCCAUGGGCUCAACCCAUGUAAGCACUUGAAACUGCUUAGCUUGAGUUAAGGAGAGGAAAGCGGAAUUCCUGGUGUAGCGGUGAAAUGCGUAGAUAUCAGGAGGAACACCAGUGGCGAAGGCGGCUUUCUGGCCUUGGACUGACGCUGAGGUACGAAAGCGUGGGGAGCAAACAGGAUUAGAUACCCUGGUAGUCCACGCCGUAAACGAUGAGUGCUAGGUGUCGGGAGUUAAACUUUCGGUGCCGCAGUUAACACAUUAAGCACUCCGCCUGGGGAGUACGUGCGCAAGCAUGAAACUCAAAUGAAUUGACGG